RNAcentral lists this ribosomal RNA (624 nucleotides) under Triticum aestivum (bread wheat). Its description in RNAcentral is "partial small subunit ribosomal RNA". Lineage: Eukaryota; Viridiplantae; Streptophyta; Magnoliopsida; Poales; Poaceae. The record is from RNAcentral.
AUGAUAGCAACAGUACAACUAGAUGCCAAAAAAAUGGUUCCGAAUCGGUUUCUAGACAAAAGAACAGGCCUAAUCCUCAUCGAUGAGUUGAUAAAAAAUAUUGUUGAUACUCAGUCAUAUGAUGAUGAUUUUGUGAGAAGGGUCGUACUGGUUCUUAUGAGUACAUUCUUAGCACCACAAUCCACCAAGUUUGUUCCUUAUCGUUAUUACAAAAUGGUGGAGGACGUGAACGCUAUCAAGUCAUACAAUUGGAACGAUUUCACGUUGAGGGUGUGCAUGGAUGCUAUUAAAAAAUCGGUGGAAGAUCUUGAAAAAUUCAAGUGGCCUAUCGGGAACUUGGCUCUUCUUCAGUAUGUAUACUGGGAAAAAGUUGAGCCAAUUGGUGUGGAUACAUUUGAUCCUUUGCCUCGUGAAUACCCACUAAUGGUUAAUUGGCCAGAAACGGAAGGGAAAAAGAAAGACAACUAUGACAACUUGCACGGGCGUGGCACCGGCAAUCUUGAAAAUUGUGUUAGCGAAGAGUACAGACAUGCUAAGGUAGCACGUGAAGGGACUGUCCCAGAUGAAGAAACGAAGAAAUCUAAACGGAAAGGUGGUGGCAGGAGUAGAAAGCCAAGCACGUAA